ACGCGCGCCAGCAGCGGCGCAGAGGCGGUGUUGGCGUCGACACCGACGGCAUUCACACAGUCUUCCACCACGGCAUCGAGCGAGCGGGAGAGUUUCGUCUCGCCGAGAUCGUGCUGAUACUGUCCGACGCCGAUGGAUUUCGGAUCGAUCUUGACCAGUUCGGCCAGCGGAUCCUGCAAUCGGCGUGCGAUGGACACCGCGCCGCGCAGCG
Molecule: unclassified non-coding RNA, 211 nt
Filed under: Hevea brasiliensis (rubber tree)
Lineage: Eukaryota; Viridiplantae; Streptophyta; Magnoliopsida; Malpighiales; Euphorbiaceae
Source: RNAcentral